Molecule: long non-coding RNA, 573 nt
Filed under: Homo sapiens (human)
Lineage: Eukaryota; Metazoa; Chordata; Mammalia; Primates; Hominidae
Description: non-protein coding lnc-UBR5-5:1
Source: RNAcentral
ACCGCAGUCACGCCAGCCCGUUAGAUUGCAAGUUGCAGGACCGCUGUAGGAAAUGUUAUUCGCCGCGGUCAGGACAGGCCUGUCCGCCCGCCCUCGCCGCAGCCUGGCUUCGUCGUUGCGAGCGCCGGGGAGGCCGUCCCCGGGGAGGGCGGAGGAAGGAGCUGACUUUGGGUUUGCGUCCCGCUCGCUGCUCUGCCCCGGGGCCAGCCAAGGACGACGCUUGGAGGCCUCAGGCCGGGGUGAGACUUACCCCUGCGUUUAUCCGCCUCACGCUCUCCCACCCUCCUUCCCUGUUUUGGAGCCCUGGCCAGGGAAACCGAGGCAAGGAAAGAGGACUGUGGCGGCUCUGCUGGAGAGAGAUCAUCUUCAGACACCAACGAAAGUGAAAUAAAGUCAAAUGAAGAGCCACUCCUAAGAAAGAGUUCUCGCCGGUUUGUCAUCUUUCCAAUCCAGUACCCUGAUAUUUGGAAAAUGUAUAAACAGGCACAGGCUUCCUUCUGGACAGCAGAAGAGGUCGACUUAUCAAAGGAUCUCCCUCACUGGAACAAGCUUAAAGCAGAUGAGAAGUACUUC